UCUGAUCUCAGAUCAAGCAAGAAGACCCGCCGAAUUUAAGCAUAUAAUUAAGCGGAGGAAAAGAAACUAACCAGGAUUCCCCUAGUAAGGGCGACUGAAGCGGGAAUAGCUCACGAUGUGAAUCAGCGCUGCUCUGUGGCGCCGAAUUGUGGUCUGAAAACGUUUGCAUUACUGGCGGGGCCAAGUCCCUUGGAACAGGGCAGCCGAGAGGGUGAGACUCCCGUGUGCCCUGCCUUUGGAGC
This 242-nucleotide ribosomal RNA is filed under the name Sellaphora capitata. RNAcentral's name for it is "partial 26S ribosomal RNA". It matches the Rfam family "Eukaryotic large subunit ribosomal RNA", at positions 1 to 247 of the family's 3401-position model. Lineage: Eukaryota; Bacillariophyta; Bacillariophyceae; Sellaphorales; Sellaphoraceae. The record is from RNAcentral.